RNAcentral lists this ribosomal RNA (494 nucleotides) under uncultured bacterium. RNAcentral describes it as "partial 16S ribosomal RNA". It matches the Rfam family "Bacterial small subunit ribosomal RNA", at positions 28 to 507 of the family's 1533-position model. The record is from RNAcentral.
GACGAACGCUGGCGGCGUGCUUAACACAUGCAAGUCGAACGGAAAGGCCUGCUUUCCCUUGUGGUUUGCGGGUACUCGAGUGGCGAACGGGUGCGUAACACGUGUGUGUUUUGCCCUCAACUUGGGUCUAAGCCUGGGAAACUAGGUCUAAUUCCCGAUAGGACUGCAGGGUGGUGUCUGUGGUGGCAGACGUUUUUUUAGUGGUUGGGGAUGAGCCGGCGCAGUAUCAGGUUGUUGGAGGGGUAAUGGCCUACAAAGGCGGGGAGGGGUAGCCGGCCGGGGAUGGGGGACGGUCACAUUGAGACUGGGAUACGGCCCAGACUGCUACGGGAGGCAGCAGUUGGGAAGAUAGGGCAAUGAGCGGAAGCCUGAUGCAGCGACGCCGCGUGGAGGAUGACCGCCUUCGAGAUGUAAGCUCCUUUGGACGACGAGGAAGCCACCUGGUUAGAAGGGUGGUGACGGUAGUGGUAGAAGAAGCACCGGCUAACUACGUG